AUACUUACCUGGCAGGGGGGACACCAUGAUCACCAAGGUGAUUGCAGGGCGAGGCUGAUCCAUUGCACUGGGGAUCUCCUGACCCCUGCAAUUUUCCCCACAUGGGGUAAACUCAACUGCACAAUUUGUGUCGGUGGGGGGUAGUGUUUGUGCUUUCCCCCA
Molecule: small nuclear RNA, 162 nt
Filed under: Dasypus novemcinctus (nine-banded armadillo)
Lineage: Eukaryota; Metazoa; Chordata; Mammalia; Cingulata; Dasypodidae
Description: U1 spliceosomal RNA (ENSDNOG00000026037.1)
Rfam family: U1 spliceosomal RNA
About the family: U1 is a small nuclear RNA (snRNA) component of the spliceosome (involved in pre-mRNA splicing).
Source: RNAcentral